GAUGAAGAACGUAGCGAAAUGCGAUAAGUAAUGUGAAUUGCAGAAUUCAGUGAAUCAUCGAAUCUUUGAACGCACAUUGCGCCCGCCAGUAUUCUGGCGGGCAUGCCUGUUCGAGCGUCAUUUCAAUCAUCAAGCCCCCGGCUUGUGUUGGGGACCUGCGGCUGCCGCAGGCCCUGAAAAGCAGUGGCGGGCUCGCUGUCACACCGAGCGUAGUAGCAUACAUCUCGCUCUGGGCGUGCUGCGGGUUCCGGCCGUUAAACCACCUUCAUAACCCAAGGUUGACCUCGGAUCAGGUAGGAAGACCCGCUGAACUUAAGCAUAUCAAUAAGCGGAGGA
Molecule: unclassified non-coding RNA, 336 nt
Filed under: soil metagenome
Description: partial contains 5.8S ribosomal RNA, internal transcribed spacer 2, and large subunit ribosomal RNA
Rfam family: 5.8S ribosomal RNA (bases 1-120)
Source: RNAcentral